UCGGUCAGCUAGCCAAACGUUAAUAAGAGUUUAAGCCUGAAAGGAAAAUAAGAGGGUUUUGAUCGGUGUUGAUCGGCCAUUAGAUGGUUUGCUAACCAGCUUAACAUGGCCACUGACUGUACUGGCUGGCUCUGCGAAAGGGGGGGCUGCAGGAAACUAGUUUGCUGGAGCACCACUUCCUCUAGAAGCCACACAGAGACACACACAGACCCAAAAUGGAGGCUUUGGAGUAGAGGACUUUAAUGGCGACACUCAUCUCUGCGUGCCGGGUCAAAUAUCUCAACAUGGAUGUCGGCCCACCGUAAGCUCAACCUCGACAAGAUAGAGCUGCUCUUCCUCCCCGUUGGAAGGCCAGCCCGCUUCAAGACCUCUCCAUCAUCACGGUUGACAACAACUCCACGUUGUUCCCCUCCAAGAGUACAAUGAAACCUUGGCGUGACCCUGGACAACACCUGCAAACAUCAAAGCACUGACUUGUUCCUGCAGGUUCAUGAUGAAAUCUUCAAAGAGUAUUAACCCACCACCAACUUGCCUUUCAUUUAACUAACCCAUUCAUUUAACUAACCCAUUCAUUUAACUAACCCUUUCACUUAACUAACGCAUUAAUUUAACUAACCCAUUCAUUUAACUAACCCUUUCAUUUAACUAACCCAUUCAUUUAACUAACCCAUUCAUAAAAGU
Molecule: long non-coding RNA, 681 nt
Filed under: Salmo salar (Atlantic salmon)
Lineage: Eukaryota; Metazoa; Chordata; Actinopteri; Salmoniformes; Salmonidae
Description: lncRNA (ENSSSAG00000121407.1)
Source: RNAcentral